GAAAGAACUGCUCUUACAGACUGAUUUUUCAAAGUACAACAUUACCUUAAAAGACAGAGCUGCACUUGGCAAUUCUCCUCAGCUUCUGUAUGGCAACACUGGGAUUACCUCUAGAGCCCACAACCUUAUAAGUCAUCCUGAAUGAUAAUCAGAACUCAAACUUGGUAUCAGAAUAUUUUUCACUGAUGAUAGCCUUUAGCAAGUCAAGUCUUAAGCAAUAAUUUGCAAGUAGUAUUAAAGGAUCACUUCAAUGGAGUGAUAAAAUCGAUGCUAGAAAUUAAUUCUAGACAAUAUGUGAUUAUUUCUGGGAAUUAACAAUGUUUUCUAACUGUGAAAUUGCUUAUUCUGAUUCUUUUUUUUUCCGUUUAUCUUAGGGCUGCUUUCUGUGCUGUUCUGUGACUUCUUUCCUCUUUCUUCUUUCUUCUUUUUUCUUUUUUCUUUUUUUUUUUUUCUUUUUUCCUUUCUUUUUUAUUUUCUAUUUUGUUAUUAUUUUCUUUUCAAAAGCAUGUAUCAGCAUUUGAAAGUUAUACCAAGAGAUGAAAAUUGUGUGUGUUUAUGAAAAAAAAAUUACUCUGAGCAAGUUCUGGGAUGAAAUACAAGAGUCAUGCUGUUGAAAUCUGUCUGUCACUUCUGCAGAAGGACAAAACCUGCUGAGGUCCCAUGCCAAAUCUCUGUAGGACCUGAUGGAGACAGUGAAAGGCAUUUGGACAUGGUGUUCUUUCUGGCAGAUGCUGAUAUACUGGCUAUGCUCUGAAGGAAGGGUAUUUACAAACCACUGCUUUUAUCCCCUGUAUGUCCUGUUUGCAUUUAUCAUCCUUUCUACAUUGUCUGGUAUCCUACUCCGAACAGCAGCCAAAUCUUCUGCUGAAUGAAUCAACAGUGACCUCAAGUACAAGCUCAUUUAUUUGGUAUCAUUUCCUUUACUAAUUUUCAGUUGCAGUAGUAAACUGCUAUGUCAAGAUCAGUAUUUUAACCUUGUUAAAGACUACAAGCAGACUGUUACCAAACAAAAGCUUUGGUAAGGAGAACUGCUAGUUAUGAUUUUAGAACUGCUGGCUGUAAUACAACUUUCUUAAUGCAAGAAGUGGAUGAAACUGGGAGAAAAUUCUUUCUGAAUAUAGUAAUAUUAUUUACAGUAUCCUAUCUGACUAGGUAUGACUCCACAGAAAGCCUGAACUCUUGGUUAUUUUCCUCUUUGUUCCAAGGCAUAGCAUACUGCAUUUCUUAUACUUUAUGUACCUCAUAGUGAACACAAUCCAAACCUAAGAUUCAGUUAAAUGCAGUUGUACAUAUUGUCUCAAUUCUAGGAUCA
Molecule: long non-coding RNA, 1312 nt
Filed under: Coturnix japonica (Japanese quail)
Lineage: Eukaryota; Metazoa; Chordata; Aves; Galliformes; Phasianidae
Description: lncRNA (ENSCJPG00005000350.1)
Source: RNAcentral